This 836-nucleotide small RNA is filed under the name Pongo abelii (Sumatran orangutan). RNAcentral's name for it is "processed transcript". The record is from RNAcentral. Lineage: Eukaryota; Metazoa; Chordata; Mammalia; Primates; Hominidae.
CGGCGGCGACGGCGCGGAGGCCCCGGGCGCGGCGCAGAUGAGUUCCUGUCCAGUCUGGAGAGCUAUGAGAUCGCCUUCCCCACCCGCGUGGACCACAAUGGGGCACUGCUGGCCUUCUCGCCACCUCCUCCCCGGAGGCAGCGCCGGGGCACGGGGGCCACAGCCGAGUCCCGCCUCUUCUACAAAGUGGCCUCGCCCAGCACCCACUUCCUGCUGAACCUGACCCACAGCUCCCGUCUACUGGCAGGGCACGUCUCCGUGGAGUACUGGACACGGGAGGGCCUGGCCUGGCAGAGGGCCGCCCGGCCCCACUGCCUCUACGCUGGUCACCUGCAGGGCCAGGCCAGCAGCUCCCAUGUGGCCAUCAGCACCUGUGGAGGCCUGCACGGCCUGAUUGUGGCAGACGAGGAAGAGUACCUGAUUGAGCCCCUGCACGGCGGGCCCAAGGGUUCUCGGGGCCCGGAGGAAAGUGGACCACAUGUGGUAUACAAGCGUUCCUCUCUGCGUCACCCCCACCUGGACACAGCCUGUGGAGUGAGAGAUGAGAAACCGUGGAAAGGGCGGCCAUGGUGGCUGCGGACCUUGAAGCCACCGCCUGCCAGGCCGCUGGGGAAUGAAACAGAGCGUGGCCAGCCAGGCCUGAAGCGAUCGGUCAGCCGAGAGCGCUACGUGGAGACCCUGGUGGUGGCUGACAAGAUGAUGGUGGCCUAUCACGGGCGCCGGGAUGUGGAGCAGUAUGUGCUGGCCAUCAUGAACAUUGUCAGGUUGCCAAACUUUUCCAGGACUCGAGUCUGGGAAGCACCGUUAACAUCCUCGUAACUCGCCUCAUCCUGCUC